RNAcentral lists this ribosomal RNA (570 nucleotides) under Nephroselmis pyriformis. RNAcentral's name for it is "partial Bacterial large subunit ribosomal RNA". It matches the Rfam family "Bacterial large subunit ribosomal RNA", at positions 14 to 656 of the family's 2925-position model. The record is from RNAcentral. Lineage: Eukaryota; Viridiplantae; Chlorophyta; Nephroselmidophyceae; Nephroselmidales; Nephroselmidaceae.
UUAAAGCAUUGAAUGGAUGCCUUGGCAUAAAAAAAAAGGACGUUUAACAAGACGAAACGUUGCAAAAAGAAGCACUGCGAUUUGCAAAUAUCCGAAAAGUAAACUUAUUGAUUAUAAACACUUUGCGAACUGAAACAUCAUAUUAGCAAAAGGAAAGGAAAUCAACCGAGACUCUGUUAGUAGUGGCGAGCGAACAUGGAAUAGGCAUUGCGUUUUUUUGUUAUUUAAACAAAACUGAAUCUAAAACUUUAUGAUUAAUAAGGUCAACAAAGAGCCAAAGAAGGUACUAGCCCUGUAAGAUUGUUUUUUUAUCAUUUGAAACUGCUACCAUACAGUAUAAUAAAAAUUAUUAAAAUCUUAAGGGGGUCCCAUCCUCCAAGCCUAAGUAUUUUUUGUGACCGAUAGCGUACCAGUACCGUGAGGGAAAGGCGAAAAGAACCCCUGUGAGGGGAGUGAAAUAGAUCCUGAAACCGUAUGCGUACAAGCAGUCGGAGCAGACUUGUUCUGUGACGGCGUACCUUUUGUAUAAUGGGUCAGCGACUUAUGUUCAGUGGCGAGGUUAACCGUUUA